CACAUGCAAGUCGAGUGCGCGGUUGUAGCAAUACAACUGGUGCACGGCGCACGGGUGCGUAACACGUGGGCAAUCUGCCCUCCGAUGGGGAAUAACCCCGCGAAAGCGGGGCUAAUACCGCAUAACAUUCCGGAGACUCCGGUUUCCGGACUCAAAGCCGUAAGGCGUCGGAGGUGGAGCCCGCGCACGAUUAGCUAGUUGGUAGGGUAACGGCCUACCAAGGCUUCGAUCGUUAGCUGGUCUGAGAGGAUGGCCAGCCACACUGGAACUGAGACACGGUCCAGACUCCUACGGGAGGCAGCAGUGGGGAAUCUUGCACAAUGGGCGAAAGCCUGAUGCAGCGACGCCGCGUGGGGGAUGAAGCUUCUCGGAGUGUAAACCCCUUUCGACCCGGACGAAUACCUCGCAAGAGGGGUGACGGUACGGGUAUAAGAAGCCCCGGCUAACUACGUGCCAGCAGCCGCGGUAAGACGUGGGGGGCCAGCGUUGCUCGGAAUUACUGGGUGUAAAGGGUCAGUGGGCGGUGUGGCAAGUCGGGAGUGAAAUCUCUGGGCUUAA
RNAcentral lists this ribosomal RNA (558 nucleotides) under uncultured bacterium. RNAcentral's name for it is "bacterial SSU rRNA". It matches the Rfam family "Bacterial small subunit ribosomal RNA", at positions 52 to 612 of the family's 1533-position model. The record is from RNAcentral.